Molecule: long non-coding RNA, 205 nt
Filed under: Elaeis guineensis (African oil palm)
Lineage: Eukaryota; Viridiplantae; Streptophyta; Magnoliopsida; Arecales; Arecaceae
Description: long non-coding RNA (EGUI_LNC081743)
Source: RNAcentral
ACUCUCUGAGUCAUCAUCCUAUGAGACCACAUAGAACGUUCUCUCUUCUUACAAGGAGUGACUGAUUUUUUAUUGACCACUCACAAUUUUUAUGUACACUUUACCAUACCCAGAACAUCUUAUAUAUGUCUUAGAGAGCUAUACUAGGGAAUAAAAUAAAGUAGAGAACCAUAUACAUAAGGUACCAUAGUGAUCUCAGAUCUCA